CAAGGAAUAGUUUAAUUAGAACAUCAGCUUUGGGAGUUGGCGGUGGAAAUGACUUUUUCUUCCUUGA
Molecule: transfer RNA, 67 nt
Filed under: Thryonomys swinderianus (greater cane rat)
Lineage: Eukaryota; Metazoa; Chordata; Mammalia; Rodentia; Thryonomyidae
Description: transfer RNA-Pro
Rfam family: tRNA
About the family: Transfer RNA (tRNA) molecules are approximately 80 nucleotides in length. Their secondary structure includes four short double-helical elements and three loops (D, anti-codon, and T loops).
Source: RNAcentral